GCACGCUCGUCCUCUCCCUCCGUGCUGUCGCGGUGUUGUUGCAACUCAAAUCGUGUGCUUCAAAUUAGAAGAUUUCCUUCAUAUUUGAACAUUUCCAUGAAUAUUCUAAUUUAAUAAUUACUUCUCCGUGAAGUUUGAUAUCAUUUCAUGUCUAAUUCAUUGAGCGAUUUAAUAUAAGUGUCUUGAUUUUCUUUUCAGCUGUAAAGUUGCGAACGAGAAGAUGUCAUCGAACGAACUUUAUAACUCGUAGGCAAAAACCCAUAGUAUAUGUAUAUAGGUAAUAGCCAGGCUUAAUUGGCCUUAUUUUUUCAUUAUAUAUUUUAUCUACAAAAGCAUAAAUGGUAAAGAACGCUUGAUAUCUUCUUCAACCUGUCGUGCUACAGCCUUCUCCUUAACGAUCUGAGAGCUUCCAGAUUAUCCGCUAACAGAAACUCCAGCUCUGCAAUUAUCCUCAGUGUAAGAAACGCGGAACAAAUUCCAGCAUUCACGUGAAUUCAGCAUUCACGUACCGCCUGAAUAACCUACCCGGCAAACGGAGCGUCUGACGCGAGAACUGUCCGCUUCUCAUCCACGCUGGU
Molecule: long non-coding RNA, 578 nt
Organism: Hyalella azteca
Lineage: Eukaryota; Metazoa; Arthropoda; Malacostraca; Amphipoda; Hyalellidae
Exons: 3
Source: RefSeq, a predicted model, not a curated record